CCUCCUUCCUCUCUGAAUCCCCUGGGAUAAAGGCCAGUGUUCAGGAGCAGUACAGUCUCCCCAGGGGCUGGAGGCCCUUCCAGCCACUCUCUGGAAGCCCUUAGUCCCCAGUUUCCCUCAGACUAACAUCACACAGAAAGUAGCCUGCAGGGUCACUGGCCUCAGGGUCACCACUCCAUCAGCCUCAAGGCCCCACGCCUGCGAGAUGUCCAGCAGGGCCCAGGCCAGAGCCACCAGGAGACUUGGAGCCACCUUCCGCUAACUCCGCUGGGCAGGCACUACAGGCAUCUAAGAAGGUGGUCUCUCCCUCAUGGUUCCGGGGCUGCCCAGGCGGGGCUGAGGCACAGCAGGCCAGGGGCUCUCCAAGUCCCUACAGAUCUGUGACCUUGUUUUCUACAGCCGCUGCGAUCUGCUGGAGCCGAUAGCCCAGCUGCAUCUUCUGGGCCGUGCCAUCUUCCUCCAGGGCAGUGAUGAUCUGAAACACAGAGACCAACUCAGCAGGGGGAGACCGUCAGCCUGCCGUCUGCCUUUGCCACAGACUUCAAUAGGCCUCCACAGCUACUGCAGCAGUAAAAUCGUUUUGAGUGGAGGCCAACUUCACCCACCAUGCUGGUCUUCUCCGCCACAAACCCCCGGGAAGCCCUGCUCCACCCAUCCUGGCUCCCCCGCCCACCAGGCAACAAGCAGUUCCUAAAUUCCUACAUGCCGGGUGCUGGACAAGGAGCAGGGACCCAGCAGUGAUGACAGGCCCUGGUAGAUCCCCAGCCAUCCAUCACCACCACCAUGCCCAGGAGCCCGGCUGAGGAGCCCGGAUGGGAAGGGCGGCAGCAGAGGCAGCGGGAACACUGUGCUGAGGCCCCCAGGGCUUCCCUGCAAAGGAGCAGCGUGAAGGGGGCAGGACCCUUGUGGCAGAAGGCCUAUGCCCAACCCAAGAAGCAGAAGGAGGGCCAUACCCGGGACAGCUCGGCCAGGAUGGAGUUCAUCUCUUGAUCACUGGCGGGGAUGGUCUGUCUGAUGUCUGCAUAGUACCUGCCAGAGAUCAUGGGUCCGGCAGCCGCUGGGGAAACAAACCCCUCUUCACCCCACCAGGCCCACCCCUGGGCCUCAGCUGUAAACACCCACCAAUCCGUCCAGCCAUUAUCCCCCAGAUGCAAUCCCUUUCCCUCGUACCUUUCCACCAUCCGUUUGUACCGGGGAAUAUCCCGAGCAUACAGAAGUUUGUUGAUGGGAGAGUCCUGGGUGCCAGCAGGUGAACAGUGAAAGGAAAAGAAGGAUGAGAGCUCCUGUUAGGGUGACCAGCUGUCCCAAUUUUCCCAGCACUGUUUCAGUUUUAAAACUAAGUCCCGAAUUGCAGGAAACCUCCUCAGUCCCAGACAACCCGGAUGGUUGGUCACCCCACCUCAUUCCUUCUGUCACCCCUCCCCCAGUGUCCCAUCUCUGCUGUCAUCACCUUGAGCUUCCCCCCAUCUCACUCCAAGGUCAUCUCUCAGCUCCACGUGCCUCCACCCGGACCUGGCAGGGAACUGGCAUGCAGGGUGGGAAGGGUGCAGUGCCGUGUGGAGCCCUAAUAUUGCUUCUCCAAGUGCUGUUCAUUCCCCAUGUAAUCAUUUUAAAAAUCAGGAAACUAACCCCGAAAUUUAAUUAAAUUGCCCCAGACCACCUCACUCCUGUGUGGCUGAGCUGGGAUUUGAAGCAGGUCUCUCAGACCAGGGCCCACAAUCUAACACAGCCAAUAUAUCCUCUACCACCGAACCGGGCUCCAAUCCCAGCUCUGUCCCAGUGGCUGUGGGCAGCACACUUCCAUUCUCUGGACCUGCUGCCUCAUCCUACAGCUGCUGGGAGGGUGAGGCAAGACUGCACUGCCGCCUGUGAGCAAGGGCGUGAGCGCUGGGCCUGAGGCAGGAUGCCUGCUUCUCAGCAACUCUCCAUGGGUGGCCCUUGGCAUCCUGGUUUGCACUAUUCCUGAGCUACCCAGGAAGCAUCUGCAGUGCUGUUGGGAAGGGGAAGCAGUGUGAAGAUCAGGCAGAAGAACCCAGCUACCAUACAGCACACACCCUGGAGGUGACCCCUGGGUCCUGGUGUGGCUCUGUGGUUCUCAGCUCGCUAUCGCAGGCAGAGUAAUGAGCGCAGGCAGAGGAAAAAUGGCUUACAAAAGACAGCACUACAGAGUGGAACUUUCCAUCUUGUUUCCCCAUGGAGAACUCUCACGAGGUCCCGCCCAGGGGUCGAGGCUAAGCAGAGUCCGUUAUGCAGAGCCACGACAGCCCUGCCUGCUGGGUGCCUGAGCAGUCAUAGUGGUGACCCCGUAUCUGUCACAGGACUCUCUGGGUCCUGACCACUGUGACAACAUACCUCCCCCUCUCUGUGCCACCAGGCAGCCCUGACCACCUCUCCUCCAUGCUUCCCAGCUCCCCUGUCAGCACACCCCUCCUCGCCUGGCCCUCCCCUGGACUCUGCUCCCUGUACUGCACAGGCUGGCAGACACUUCCACUGCCCUUGGGAAUCAAAUCUCCGAGGCAGCCUGGAGCUGCUCUGCGAUUGUAGAAUCCAUGGGCUCACCUCCUCCAAGUCUCAGCUCACCACCGCCAGAGGCCCGGGGUGCGUAAGGAACCCCUCCCUCUUCCUCACCCCCACAUCCAACCCACAGCUUCUGCCUGCCCUGUACCCUCUAGUCCCAGCAUGAACCUGGCCACCGCUCGUCCCAGGGACAACACAGCUUCCUCUCUGGACGCCAGGCUCCAGUCCAUCCACUGCAUGAUUGCCAGGAGGCUCCACCUAACUCUCAGGUCUGACCACCCCCUUUGCCCUCAGGGUGAGCCCUUGCCAAGUGGCCCUGGCCUCCUGCCACACCGCCAGCACUCUUUGCUCCACUUAACCCUGUGAAUCAGCACACGUGCCCCCUGCCCUUGCUCAUCCCUGAAGGCUGAGGCACGGCCACCUCCUAGGGAGGCCAGGGACAAAGCCUGUCCCCGGGCCUGCGGUCAAAGGCCUCCUAUAUCCUCCUCCUUGACAUCCUCAAGAAGGCCUGGAGUCUGUGCACCACAGCACUCUCCAUCCCCGGCUACGCUGCCCCACCCACCUAGACCCUCCCGGUCCACCCCAGCCAGCUCACCCGGCCCAGCUUGUGGUCAGCCAGGGUGCAGGCAUCCAUGAAGGUCUGUGCAAUGACCAGGAACACUGCAUCCAUGUUAUCAGAUGUCUGCACGUCGAACACAAACUGCGGGUUUUUUAUGAUAUUGAUCCAGAACCUCAGCGGCAAGCUGUGGGCGGGGCAGGUGUGGCCAGUGAGUGUGCUGGGGAGACAGGAGAGAAGACCCCGCACAUGCUAGGCCCGCCCCGCCCCACGCCCACCUGUUGGUCUUCCAUAUAUGGACGGUGUCCUGGUCUGAGAUGCCAUGCUGCUGGGCCUGCUCAUCCAGCAGGUCAAAGAAGUAUUUCACAGCGAGCGGCACGGGACGGCUGGUGCUGAGAAUCACCUGGAACAGGUCAUCCACAAACUUCUGCAGGGUGCCCUGCGGACGAGGGGAAGCACAAGAGAUGCAGUCACCAAGGGGACCUCAGCCCAGCCCAGCCCAGCCCAGCCUCAGAUGCCUCGUGACACCAGGCCUGUGCGAGCCCCAUAUACUCCCAAAUCCCACUACCUGUCUCGUCCCUGCCCCCAGCCCCACCUUCAUGGACAGCAGGCGGGUCAGGUAGAUCUCAGGGAUGGCCUUGGCUCGCUCCCGCUCCCCGCCCCGGAGGCUGCCCCUCCGAGGCCUGGGCGGCUCCGGCUCCUCGCUUGGCUUCACCAGGUGCCAGGGCCGGAUGCCCCCCUCGUCCACAUCCUCCAGCAUUGGGGUCCCUGUGCCAAGACCUUACAGCUUGUCACCCCUCAUCAGGUGCCCCCUGCCCUAGACCCCCGGGGUCCUGCCAAAACCUGGGAGUGGGGGCACCUGGUUAAGGGCUUCUCUGGGUGGAAGGGAAGUAGACACAAGCCCACCCUGAAGUCCAGAGGACCUUACCCCGUUACUGGAGACUGGGCAAAGCAAGGGUAGAGGACUGCGAUGGCAGGGGUGGGGCGGGGGGGAGGGUAAGUACUCACUCUCUCCAGGGACGUAAUCCUGGCUUUCCCGGAGGACAUGCUUGGUGAGGCAGGGGACGAGGGCCACAGUUGCUCCGUCUGGGACCUGUGGACCACAGUUGGUGACCCCUCCACCAGCCCACCCCACCACAGCCUUCCCCCAGUUCCCACCCCUCCCACCUUGUAAUGCUGCAGGGUGUUCAGGCGCCUCCACAGACCCUGGACCUCAGAAGUCACGUCCUCGUCAGAAAGAAUGAGAUGCCCGGCCACCCCAGACCGCCAUUCUGCAAGGACAAGGCUCCCGGCGCAGACAGGCUGAGGCACCUGAGGAAGCCCGCAUAAGAAGUGGGGUCUCCACUAGCCAGAGGAGCAGGCCUGGCGGAGCCUGAAUGGGAUUUUCCCAAAGGACCUCCACGUGGGCCACGAAGGGGAAAGUUUCCCAGAGGGAAACAAUGGGCAGGUCUGCCAGGGUGACUCCCAGCUUGGUGGGCACAACCAUGCCCCUGGCAGGAUGCUAAGACCAUGAUCAGGCAGACACUCAGGCCCUGACACAGCAAGGACCCGGACGGGCCCCGGGCAGGGUUGGCUGCUCCCUAGACUCUGGAUGUGGCCAUCCUGACCCCACCCCAAACCUGGGGAACCUCUGAGGUCCUGUCUUCAAGAUCUGGUCCUCAAGCCUCUAUCCUGCAGCCAGCUGGAGGUUAGGCUGGCUCAAACCAGAUGCAGACACCCACACAAUCAUACGUAGUCACCCUCCUCACCUUCAUGGGAGACUGACUCACCAGCAGGUUCUCUCCCUCCCCCUCCCCCUCCCCCU
Lagenorhynchus albirostris (white-beaked dolphin) is the source of this 4877-nucleotide long non-coding RNA. RefSeq lists it as uncharacterized. The record is from RefSeq and is a predicted model, not a curated record. The transcript has 5 exons. Lineage: Eukaryota; Metazoa; Chordata; Mammalia; Artiodactyla; Delphinidae.